This is a long non-coding RNA of Passer domesticus (house sparrow), 257 nucleotides long. RefSeq lists it as uncharacterized. The transcript is spliced from 3 exons. Lineage: Eukaryota; Metazoa; Chordata; Aves; Passeriformes; Passeridae. The record is from RefSeq and is a predicted model, not a curated record.
UUUUCUUGCCAGGCUCUGAUAGAUGGACAGCUGAGGAGAAGGAGGCCUUCCAAAAGGCUUUCCACACCUACGGCAAGGAUUUCCAUCUCAUCCAGAAGCAGAUCCCAAGUAAGACCGUGGCACAGUGUGUGGAGUACUACUACUGCUGGAAAAAAGAGCAGAAACUUGCCAGCAGCACUCUUGCUCAGACUGCGGGCAAACGGAAGAGGAGGAAAAGCCCUCCCAGGAAGGAGACUGGGGAGACCGGGAAGAGAAGC